AAAAGGACACGUUUGUUUUAGAAAGCGUUGAUUCUGCUGAUGAACAAUUUCAAAAUACUAAUGCUGAGACUCUCAGUACUAAUUGUAUUCCUAUUAAAAAUGGCAGCCUGUUAAUGGUUUCUGAUAGUGAGAGGACAACAGAAGGGACUUCGCAACAGAAAGUUAAGGAAGGAAAUGGAAAAACAGUGCCUGGAGAGACAGGUCUUCCAGGUUCCAUGAAAGAUACAUGUAAAAUUGUACUUGCAACACCAAGACUUCAUAUAACAAUACCUCGGAGGUCAAAAAGAAAUAUUUCAAAGCUUUCUCCUCCAAGAAUAUUUCAAACUGUUACAAAUGGACUUAAAAAAAAUCAGUGACAGUGUGACAUAGUGAAAAGAACAGUGAGUUGAAUGUAAGAAGACCCACAUGUUAAGUCUUAUUUUGCUCUAUUACUAGUUGUGUAGUCUUCAAUAAUUUACUUGUUCCUUUUGGUGAUGAACAUUGAAUUCAUUCCUACUCUUUUUUUUCUGAUACUUACAGUACUAUUAAAAUAGUUAGAUUAAUUAAGAUAGAAAGGAACUGUAGCAUCUGAAGAUUUGAGAAUUUUUCCCAAAUUAAAUACAGAGUAAUCAAUGAAAGACUUUAGAGCAUUAAACUGUUACAUUAGGACAAAUUCUCUGAAGGAAGUGGAAUGGAAAUACAAGCUUAAGGAGGAAGAUGCAGUGUAAAAUUUCCAAUUGUUAGAGGUUUGCCCAUUAAUUAAUUAAUUAUUUUUGA
RNAcentral lists this long non-coding RNA (756 nucleotides) under Homo sapiens (human). Its description in RNAcentral is "non-protein coding lnc-FKBP3-6:1". The record is from RNAcentral. Lineage: Eukaryota; Metazoa; Chordata; Mammalia; Primates; Hominidae.